GUUUUACUAUCAGUAGUAAAAGAAUAUGGAUUCCAAAACAAAGAAAGGCGGUAGCUAUGAAUACUUUGCAAUAAAAAUUCUUGAAUACAAUGAAAAUUGAUAACAAAAAGAAGGAUUCUAAGGAACUUCAAGGUGAAAAUAUUGCACAAAGAAGGCAUGUUUUUAUCACUACUAAAGAAAAACAAGAAUUCAAAAUUAACUCUCGAAGAGAGGGGAUCUUAGAAUUACUUGAAAAAUGUUGCUCAGAAAAUCCUUUCGAUCCUCAAAAGAAUAAAGGAAAUAUGACAUCAACUAUUGAAUUACUUGAUGAAUUUAAAACAGCUAUUGUUAGAGCUAAGGCAAUGACUUAUAGCCCUAAAUAUAGAGAUGAAUUCUCAGUACAAAUAAAAGAAUUGCUUGAACUACAGGUUAUUGAACCCAGUAAAUCUCAAUUUUCUUCACCAACCUUUAUGGUAAGAAAAGAAGUAGAAAAGAGACGUGGAAAAGCUAGAAUGGUAAUUGACUAUUCUCAUCUUAAUAAAAUUACUAAGACAGAUGGAUAUUCAAUUCCAAAUAUGUAAAGUCUAUUACAACUAAUAAAAGGAAAAACCUCAUUUUCAUCCUUUGAUUGUAAAUUUAGCUUUUGACAAUUAAUACUCAACCAAGAAGCAAGACAUCUUACAGCAUUUAGUUGUCCACAAGGAUGUUAUCAAUAGAAGGUGGUACCAUUUGGGCUAAAACAAGCACCAGGUAUUUUCCAAAGACACAUGGACAAUA
Molecule: long non-coding RNA, 756 nt
Filed under: Olea europaea subsp. europaea
Lineage: Eukaryota; Viridiplantae; Streptophyta; Magnoliopsida; Lamiales; Oleaceae
Source: RNAcentral